RNAcentral lists this ribosomal RNA (560 nucleotides) under uncultured bacterium. RNAcentral's name for it is "bacterial SSU rRNA". It matches the Rfam family "Bacterial small subunit ribosomal RNA", at positions 363 to 914 of the family's 1533-position model. The record is from RNAcentral.
CUUCCGCAAUGGACGCAAGUCUGACGGAGCAACGCCGCGUGUGUGAAGAAGGUUUUCGGAUCGUAAAGCACUGUUAUUAGAGAAGAACAGCCGAUAGAGUAACUGUUAUCGGUUUGACGGUAUCUAACCAGAAAGUGACGGCUAACUACGUGCCAGCAGCCGCGGUAAUACGUAGGUCACAAGCGUUGUCCGGAUUUAUUGGGCGUAAAGGGAGCGCAGGCGGUUUGUUAAGUCUGAUGUGAAAGCCCACGGCUCAACCGUGGAACGGCAUUGGAAACUGGCAAACUUGAGUAUAGAAGAGGAAAGUGGAAUUCCAUGUGUAGCGGUGAAAUGCGUAGAUAUAUGGAGGAACACCAGUGGCGAAGGCGACUUUCUGGUCUAUAACUGACGCUGAGGCUCGAAAGCGUGGGGAGCGAACAGGAUUAGAUACCCUGGUAGUCCACGCCGUAAACGAUGAGUGUUAAGUGUUGGGGGGCUUCCACCCCUCAGUGCUGGCGUUAACGCAAUAAACACUCCGCCUGGGGAGUACGACCGCAAGGUUGAAACUCAAAGGAAUUGAC